RNAcentral lists this ribosomal RNA (563 nucleotides) under Escherichia coli. RNAcentral describes it as "bacterial LSU rRNA". It matches the Rfam family "Bacterial large subunit ribosomal RNA", at positions 2159 to 2721 of the family's 2925-position model. The record is from RNAcentral. Lineage: Bacteria; Pseudomonadati; Pseudomonadota; Gammaproteobacteria; Enterobacterales; Enterobacteriaceae.
GAAGUGUGGACGCCAGUCUGCAUGGAGCCGACCUUGAAAUACCACCCUUUAAUGUUUGAUGUUCUAACGUUGACCCGUAAUCCGGGUUGCGGACAGUGUCUGGUGGGUAGUUUGACUGGGGCGGUCUCCUCCUAAAGAGUAACGGAGGAGCACGAAGGUUGGCUAAUCCUGGUCGGACAUCAGGAGGUUAGUGCAAUGGCAUAAGCCAGCUUGACUGCGAGCGUGACGGCGCGAGCAGGUGCGAAAGCAGGUCAUAGUGAUCCGGUGGUUCUGAAUGGAAGGGCCAUCGCUCAACGGAUAAAAGGUACUCCGGGGAUAACAGGCUGAUACCGCCCAAGAGUUCAUAUCGACGGCGGUGUUUGGCACCUCGAUGUCGGCUCAUCACAUCCUGGGGCUGAAGUAGGUCCCAAGGGUAUGGCUGUUCGCCAUUUAAAGUGGUACGCGAGCUGGGUUUAGAACGUCGUGAGACAGUUCGGUCCCUAUCUGCCGUGGGCGCUGGAGAACUGAGGGGGGCUGCUCCUAGUACGAGAGGACCGGAGUGGACGCAUCACUGGUGUUCGGGU